GCCCAGGUAGCUCAGUUGGUAGAGCACACCCUUGGUAAGGGUGAGGUCGGCAGUUCAAAUCUGCUCUUGGGCUCCA
RNAcentral lists this transfer RNA (76 nucleotides) under Ectothiorhodospiraceae bacterium BW-2. RNAcentral's name for it is "tRNA-Thr". It matches the Rfam family "tRNA". Rfam says of the family: Transfer RNA (tRNA) molecules are approximately 80 nucleotides in length. Their secondary structure includes four short double-helical elements and three loops (D, anti-codon, and T loops). Lineage: Bacteria; Pseudomonadati; Pseudomonadota; Gammaproteobacteria; Chromatiales; Ectothiorhodospiraceae. RNAcentral also lists the same sequence under 1 other name. The record is from RNAcentral.